GUGUGCCAUGCAGCUGCAACGGGCUCUCCGAUGAGUGUGAUGAGCGUACAGGGAACUGUGUGAAAUGUCAGUUCGACACUGCAGGAAAUCGCUGUGAACGUUGCAAGGAGGGUUAUUUUGAAGAUCCAGUGAACAGAACCUGUCGUGCCUGUCCAUGUCCCUUUACAGAGAACAAUUUUGCACUGGCCUGCCUUGAUGUUGGCUCAGGAGUGGUGGAAUGUUUGUGUAAACAUGGUUACAGUGGAGUCAGAUG
Long non-coding RNA from Pundamilia nyererei, 253 nucleotides. RefSeq lists it as uncharacterized. Lineage: Eukaryota; Metazoa; Chordata; Actinopteri; Cichliformes; Cichlidae. The transcript has 3 exons. The record is from RefSeq and is a predicted model, not a curated record.